Molecule: ribosomal RNA, 616 nt
Filed under: uncultured bacterium
Lineage: Bacteria
Description: bacterial SSU rRNA
Rfam family: Bacterial small subunit ribosomal RNA
Source: RNAcentral
CCUACGGGAGGCAGCAGUGGGGAAUUUUGGACAAUGGGCGAAAGCCUGAUCCAGCAAUGCCGCGUGUGUGAAGAAGGCCUUCGGGUUGUAAAGCACUUUUGUCCGGAAAGAAAUCCUUGACUCUAAUACAGUCGGGGGAUGACGGUACCGGAAGAAUAAGCACCGGCUAACUACGUGCCAGCAGCCGCGGUAAUACGUAGGGUGCGAGCGUUAAUCGGAAUUACUGGGCGUAAAGCGUGCGCAGGCGGUUUGCUAAGACCGAUGUGAAAUCCCCGGGCUCAACCUGGGAACUGCAUUGGUGACUGGCAGGCUAGAGUAUGGCAGAGGGGGGUAGAAUUCCACGUGUAGCAGUGAAAUGCGUAGAGAUGUGGAGGAAUACCGAUGGCGAAGGCAGCCCCCUGGGCCAAUACUGACGCUCAUGCACGAAAGCGUGGGGAGCAAACAGGAUUAGAUACCCUGGUAGUCCACGCCCUAAACGAUGUCAACUAGUUGUUGGGGAUUCAUUUCCUUAGUAACGUAGCUAACGCGUGAAGUUGACCGCCUGGGGAGUACGGUCGCAAGNUUAAACUAAAUGAAUUGACCGGNUGAGAGNGCGACGACGACGACGAGGAGGAGG